Molecule: ribosomal RNA, 405 nt
Filed under: uncultured bacterium
Lineage: Bacteria
Description: partial 16S ribosomal RNA
Rfam family: Bacterial small subunit ribosomal RNA
Source: RNAcentral
GACGAACGCUGGCGGCGUGCUUAACACAUGCAAGUCGAGCGGAGCGGCGAACGGGUGAGUAACGCGUGAGUAACUGCCCCCCUCUCUGGGCUAACAGUCGGAAACGGGUGCUAAUACCGGAUAGUGGGGGAUGACUCGCGUCCUAUCAGCUUGUUGGUGGGGUAGUGGCCGACCAAGGCGACGACGGGUAGCCGGCCUGAGAGGGCGACCGGCCAGAUUGGGCUAGGGUACGGCCCAAAGUCCUACGGGAGGCAGCAGUGGGGAGUAUGGCACAAUGGGGGAAACCCUGAUGAAGAAACGCCGCGUGCGGAAUGACGGCCUUCAGGUUGUAAACCGCUUUAAGCCAUGACGCGGUAGUGGCAGAAGAAGCACCGGCUAACUACGUGCCAGCAGCCGCGGUAAUAC